GCAAGUCGAGCGCAUCCUUCGGGAUGAGCGGCGGACGGGUGAGUAACGCGUGGGAAUGUGCCCUUCUCUACGGAAUAGCCACUGGAAACGGUGAGUAAUACCGUAUACGCCCUUAGGGGGAAAGAUUUAUCGGAGAAGGAUCAGCCCGCGCUAGAUUAGGUAGUUGGUGGGGUAACGGCCUACCAAGCCUACGAUCUAUAGCUGGUUUUAGAGGAUGAUCAGCCACACUGGGACUGAGACACGGCCCAGACUCCUACGGGAGGCAGCAGUAGGGAAUCUUGGACAAUGGGGGAAACCCUGAUCCAGCCAUGCCGCGUGAGUGAAGAAGGCCUUAGGGUCGUAAAGCUCUUUCGCCUGUGAUGAUAAUGACAGUAGCAGGUAAAGAAACCCCGGCUAACUCCGUGCCAGCAGCCGCGGUAAUACGGAGGGGGUUAGCGUUGUUCGGAAUUACCGGGCGUAAAGCGCGCGUAGGCGGAUUGGAAAGUUGGGGGUGAAAUCCCGGGGCUCAACCCCGGAACUGCCUCCAAAACUGCCAGUCUAGAGUUCGAGAGAGGUGAGUGGAACUCCAAGUGUAGAGGUGAAAUUCGUAGAUAUUUGGAAGAACACCAGUGGCGAAGGCGGCUCACUGGCUCGAUACUGACGCUGAGGUGCGAAAGUGUGGGGAGCAAACAGGAUUAGAUACCCUGGUAGUCCACACCGUAAACGAUGAAUGCCAGUCGUCGGGUAGUAUACUAUUCGGUGACACACCUAACGGAUUAAGCAUUUCGCCUGGGGAGUACGGU
RNAcentral lists this ribosomal RNA (782 nucleotides) under uncultured Alphaproteobacteria bacterium. Its description in RNAcentral is "bacterial SSU rRNA". It matches the Rfam family "Bacterial small subunit ribosomal RNA", at positions 57 to 886 of the family's 1533-position model. The record is from RNAcentral. Lineage: Bacteria; Pseudomonadati; Pseudomonadota; Alphaproteobacteria.